ACCUGGUUGAUCCUGCCAGAGCA
This 23-nucleotide ribosomal RNA is filed under the name Festuca masafuerana. RNAcentral describes it as "Megalachne masafuerana partial 18S ribosomal RNA". Lineage: Eukaryota; Viridiplantae; Streptophyta; Magnoliopsida; Poales; Poaceae. The record is from RNAcentral.